UACGUAGGGGGCGAGCGUUGUCCGGAAUUACUGGGCGUAAAGGGCGCGUAGGCGGCCCGUUAAGUCCGCUGUGAAAGACCGAGGCUCAACCUCGGGGUUUCAGCGGAGACUGUCGGGCUGGAGUCUCGGAGAGGGAUGCGGAAUUCCUGGUGUAGCGGUGGAAUGCGUAGAGAUCAGGAGGAACACCGAUGGCGAAGGCAGCAUCCUGGCCGAGUACUGACGCUGAGGCGCGAAAGCGUGGGGAGCGAACGGG
RNAcentral lists this ribosomal RNA (253 nucleotides) under uncultured bacterium. RNAcentral describes it as "partial 16S ribosomal RNA". It matches the Rfam family "Bacterial small subunit ribosomal RNA", at positions 524 to 776 of the family's 1533-position model. The record is from RNAcentral.